AUGAAAUUGUAUGAAUAAUGCGAUGGUUGUCUAAGGCAAGGUGAAUCGUUGAUAUGGCACGGCCACGAUUUCACGCAUCGGCUGAAAUUUCAGUAAUCUAUUAUAUAAUUGGUUUACACAAAAGUUACUUAAUUAUGUUAUGUAUAUAGUUUAUUUUAUUGCAACGAUAACCACCUCUAGUGUUGUGACAAAUUUCAUCUGCUCCUCUACAGACAGGUCCUGCCUGACACUCGUCGAUAUCUUGGAAAAGGAAAGUCAAGGACAGACGAAACAACUUGAGAUUCAACUAAUGGCCCACAUUUUCGAUGACUAGGUCAAGUACAGAUUAUAAGUACAUAACAACGAGAUAAUGGAGGUAGAACACGCUUUAAUAAACGACCUCAAGAGUUCUCAUCGAGCAUACAAUACGUUUUACUCGUCGAACCUUUAACAGCACAUCUGUAAUUACCCCAGACGUUGAAACACAUAUGUUGACACAAACCAGGGGUCCUUUGGCACUCGUCAAUAUCCUAAAAUUUUUAGAGAUUUUAUCAUCUUAUUAACAAUAAUUAAUAAUAAA
This is a long non-coding RNA of Bombus huntii, 559 nucleotides long. RefSeq lists it as uncharacterized. The transcript is spliced from 4 exons. The record is from RefSeq and is a predicted model, not a curated record. Lineage: Eukaryota; Metazoa; Arthropoda; Insecta; Hymenoptera; Apidae.